RNAcentral lists this long non-coding RNA (842 nucleotides) under Homo sapiens (human). RNAcentral's name for it is "HSALNT0270151". Lineage: Eukaryota; Metazoa; Chordata; Mammalia; Primates; Hominidae. The record is from RNAcentral.
AGGCCCUGUACACACAAUAUUGCCUGUGAGUCUCAGACAUGUGCACUGCAGAGCUGGAAUCCAGACUGGCUGUCUGCCCUCUUAUCCACCACCCUCAGGAGGAAGGCGCUAUCUUUCCCUCCACCUUAUAAGAGGGCCAGCUCACAGCAUGUGUUUUCUGCAGGCUGGACAGGCCGGGGAGGAGGGUUUCCACAUCAGCUUGUGGACUGCUGUUCCUGGCUGACGGUGGGCUGCCCCUUCCUAUGCACAAAGUAUUUCAGAACUCCACGAAGCCAGGAACGGUAGGGCAGAGCCCCACCACAUAGACGGAUUGUUGAUGUUGUUGAAGAAGCCCCUCUGGCCCUGGCUUUGCCCUGGUUGUGGAGGCAGCGGGUGGGGCCUGGGGAGACCGCCCCUCCUGAGCCCGCUCCGUGACCUUGUGCUUCUCCUCUGGCUGGUAAUCAUCUCAUCCUGGCAGUUCCCCUUCCUGGAAAGCCCGCUCACGUCAUUCAAAGCGGGGGCUCUGUGGCUCCUUUAUUGCAAGUAUCUGGGACCAGGACUUGAGGGGUGCAGGGGGAGGCCAAGGCAGGAUGGUAGAGCUGUCGAAGGCACCAGGCGGGUUCACUGGCCUUGGCUUUGAGCCUCUGCUCCCCGUCCUCGAAGGGCUCUGCGCAGCCCUGUGCAUCUGUGAGGAGGUGCUGACCCUGUUCCACCCUCAGGAGUGCUCCGAUGAUUAAAACGCGCCUUCUGGACUCAUGUAGCAGGGGCUCCGCCUACUGGGGAUGCCCCAGUGCCAAAGCACAUAUGACGAGGGGAACUCAGAUGGAUUAAGGAAAGGGCGGGUCCAAAGUUAAAGAACAUGG